CAGAACCUGUUGCAAAAGGAAAACAAAUUUCCAUUAAAAUUCUGCAAUGUACAAAAAAAGCAAGUAUGAUGCAAUUACUUCUACCUCUAUUGUCUCACUGAUUUUCCAAAAGUACUUUAGAAGUAUUUUCCACAAAUUACAGUGUUGCAAAUCCAGAACUGCAGAGCAAAUUUCUAUGUGUGUCAAAGAACUAAAGAGAAAUAAACAGCACAUGUAAGUAAUAGUACCUCACUGUGACAACAGAAAAGGACCAUUCACAAAAAACCCUGUGUUUCCUCAAAGCCUUGACAACAGAAAAACAAUUAUUUUGCAUACUCUUCCACUAACUCCUUCAGUUUUAAGUCAGGAAAACUUUUAAGUCACUUGACACUUUAGAAGAACAGGAAUUCUCUUGCAAAAGCAGAAUUUCCUGACUCAGGAACAUCAACAGCGAUGCAGUUAAAUAAAGAGCAAGACCAUGUGGUGCUUCCAUUAUUUGGGUAGCAGUAGAUUUGAACCUUAAAAAAACCCAACAAAACUAGCAGUUUCUUGUUAGAUUCAGUAUCUUAACCAGUGAAGGCAACUGCAACAUUCAAGAAAACAGCUCUAAAAAUAAAAUAUUUAAGGUAACCGGAUUAUCAGGGGUAGAGUGUGGCCAGUAUCUAUUUGCUGUACAAAAAGGACAGUUCACAACCAGAAAUAAUUAUCACAUGGAUUCUCAAGUCAUUUGGUCACUAUGAUGGCUGACCUAUAGAAACUAUCUGCAUGACCAGAACCAUAUUCACAGUAAUUGUAUUAAGAAGCAAACUUUGAAACUUGAGAGACAGAUGAAAUCAAAGUAACUCAAGUAAAAUGAACUUAAUUAUGUCAGUUUAUAUUAACAGAGCAUCUAACAAAUUUGAGAGAAUUAAAACAAAAAAUAUUUCUCUGUUUAAACUCUGGUUUCCCCAGGAAAGUCCAACAUUUACAAGCUUAGAAACUGGAAAUAAAGAAGAGGAUAAAAAACUUAAAGAUGAAGUAAGACUUCCUGUUUCUAAUUUUGUUUCUUUAAUACUGUUUUUUCUCCUCUCCCUGUACUACUCACAUGCAAUUUAUUAUAAACUGCCCCUUUCCUGAUUUCUGCUUAUGCAUAUAUGAGCAAUAACCAGAAAGCUGAAGAGAAGGUGUACAGAAAAAUCUAUGAGCAGCCUCCCAAUAACUACGAUGAGGUUGUGAAGACAGAGCCAGGUGCUCAUCAGAAAGCUGAGAGAGAGCAGGUCAAAUUGCAACAAGAAAAGUUCAAACUGAAUGUAAGGCAUGAGGGAAAUGAAGCGGUGGUGCAGGCUUCCCAGAGAGGUUGUGCAGUCUCUGCCCUUGGAGAUCCUUUACAAGACUUGAUGGCACAAAACCCUCAGCAACCUGGCCUGAUCUCAGAGCUGACCCUGUUUUGAGAACACGAUGGGACUAGAGAUGUCUCGUCAUCACCUCCUCUACUCCACUCUCAAUUAUCCUGUGAUCCUGUGAAGUGCAGGUCUCCUCUGUGGUGCCUUCUUUGCUGUGUACUACCUAAUGGUAAGUAAUAAUGUGCACUGCAAUGAGUGCAGCAUGCUUUACCCCUCCAUUUCAGAGAUAACCUGCUCUGAAUAAUUUGACAUGUACCACAAAACACUGGUGGGCUUCAAUCAACAUCACUUCUCUUUAGUAAAGCUUAUCCUGGAUGCCUGUAUAUAAAGGAAAACCAUACUGCAUAGAAUUAGUAUUCCUUCUGAAACUAUGCAUCUGGUUUACAGGGCACCUGGUUAAAAUUCCAAGGCGCCACUGCUAAUCACACCACAUUUGUGUGACGUGAGCUUUUUGAUACAUCAAGUCUCUGUAGAUAUAUGUAAUCAGGUAUCCCAUUAGAGAAAAGACAUUUGCAGCAUGUGAACAUAUUUUUAAAAGAUAUCAUUAAUACAUUGUUAAUUUCUAUUGCAAUGCUAUAACACCUGUUCACAGCAUUAGUAUUUAAGAAUUCAGGUUCUUGAUACACUAAACCAGAUGAAGCAAAGAUCAAAACUGCAGAAACCAGAUGACAAUUUGCUAAGUCACACUGACACGAUGCUGGGUCAGAUUCAUUCAGAAAUGUGGGAGGUUGGCUUUGAGUGAAUAAAAGUUACACAGAUUAGGCAACGAGUCCACACUGAAAUUACAGCAGCUUCGUGUUGGUAUCCCACAGGUCUUUGCGACAAUGUUGUUCGCAAUGUCCCCAAGAUCAGUAUCUCUAGAUCCUCAAAGCCUUUUCAAGUUGUUCUUUUAGAAUAAAUUUGGGAGACGGGGAGCAGCAGAAGCUGCAGCAGAUUUCUGACUCAGUACAGAAAGCACAGCCCUACGGUCAAGAGAAGAUCAGCCGAGUGAAGAUGAACUUUACAGAAUGGGAGUGACCAGCAAUAUACAAAGGAAGUGUGGUUGGCCCACCCAUCCAGAGGAUAUGACAGAUGACCAGAAAUCAAUUUGUCUGCUGUAUGAACUGAAGGUCAGCCAUGAGUCUUCCCUGCUGGACCUCCUUCUUGCCUUCAGAUGCCUGAACGCAACUACAACAUCACCCAACAGCUGCUCAGGCAGCAGCUGCUGGCAACUGCUCACCUUACCCGUAAAUAGGUUCUUUAGCUACAGCAUCAGAGGUUGCACAACCAAGCACAACUUCCCAAAGAAAAUCCACAUUGCUGCAAGGCUUAAAAUAAAUGGCAGCCAACAGCUGCUAUAGCUAUUUCCUGGGAAAGGAGAUGAACCAGAAGCAGGAGCAUCAUGGAUCUGCCCCAAAAAUCCUACAGCGCAACAGAGCUGGCAUCCAGCAAUCCAUGUGGAAGGCUGGCAGAGGGCAGCAAAGCAAACUGUGACAUGAAGCGGCACGCCAAUGCAUCCUGCCAAGGAAAAGCCCUCAGUAUGUGAACUAGGCUUUCUGGCAGAGAAUGUCUAAGUACUCAUGCCCAAGAACAGCUCUGACAACACACUGGUUGAUCUAGUUGUGCAAAUAUCUGGCAUGAAACUACAUCCUGUGUUCCUAUUGAGCUUAAAAAAAAAAAAAAAAGGCUGUUCUUGCAACUCAUAUUUCCUGACACAGAGGCAAUUUUUCACUUUUCUUAAACCACAGAUUAUAAAUCUGUUUAAACUGUGGGUGUUAACUUAAUCUAGAAAAACAGAUCUUGAAUAAAAGCAGCUCUUCAAACCUAGAUACAUUUAAAUAAAGUAUCAUUAGAAUAGUAAAGGAAUUCCAUCUUCAUAAAAUAGUAACAUAAUACAAUGCAACUUAUUUAAUUUAGAAAAAGCAAACUAACGACAACAAUUCAAUGCAGUGUGUGUCUUUUUUACCUGUACUAUCAGAAAUUGUUCUAUUUUUGUUUCUUUCCCUUUCAAUGUAUUAGAAAAGAACUCAGAGCAGAUAUUCUAAACCAGCAUACAAAGGAUGUUAUUGUAUUAACAUAAAACUGGUUUUGUGCUUUAAGGCUAAUACAGUGUUUUUAUUUACUUAGAACAAAUGUUUCCAACUCCAAUCUCACAACACUGAAAUGUCACUGUUAGUUCUUACCAACAGUUCUGUUGCAAAGAUAGUGCCGAACACUGAUAUUUCCCAGUUGAUUUGGUAUCACUCGGUUGACCUGGAGGCAUAUUUCUGUGUCUUCACCUCUGAUGUCAAUUUCA
Molecule: long non-coding RNA, 3636 nt
Organism: Columba livia (rock pigeon)
Lineage: Eukaryota; Metazoa; Chordata; Aves; Columbiformes; Columbidae
Exons: 3
Source: RefSeq, a predicted model, not a curated record